RNAcentral lists this ribosomal RNA (150 nucleotides) under uncultured bacterium. RNAcentral's name for it is "partial 16S ribosomal RNA". It matches the Rfam family "Bacterial small subunit ribosomal RNA", at positions 1350 to 1500 of the family's 1533-position model. The record is from RNAcentral.
CAGCAUACUGCCGUGAAUACGUUCCCGGGCCUUGUACACACCGCCCGUCACACCAUGAGAGUUGGGAAUACCCAAAGCCUGUGAGCUAACUUUUAGAGGCAGCAGUCGAAGGUAGAAUCAAUGAUUGGGGUGAAGUCGUAACAAGGUAGC